RNAcentral lists this ribosomal RNA (498 nucleotides) under uncultured bacterium. RNAcentral describes it as "partial 16S ribosomal RNA". It matches the Rfam family "Bacterial small subunit ribosomal RNA", at positions 28 to 507 of the family's 1533-position model. The record is from RNAcentral.
GACGAACGCUGGCGGCAUGCCUAAUACAUGCAAGUUGAACGAUGAUAUUCUCUGCUUGCCGAGAAUUGAAGAGUAGCGAACGGGUGAGUAACACGUGGGGAACCUGCCCAUGAGAGGGGGAUAACAUUCGGAAACGGAUGCUAAUACCGCAUAAUGCUUUGGACCGCCUGGUCCAGAGACGAAAGACGGCUUUUGCUGUCACUCAUGGAUGGCCCCGCGCCGUAUUAGCUAGUUGGUGAGGUAAUGGCUCACCAAAGCUGUGAUACGUAGCCGACCUGAGAGGGUGAUCGGCCACACUGGGGCUGAGACACGGCCCAGACUCCUACGGGAGGCAGCAGUAGGGAAUCUUCCACAAUGGGCGAAAGCCUGAUGGAGCAAUGCCGCGUGAAUGAAGAAGGUCUUCGGAUCGUAAAGUUCUGUUAUUAGAGAAGAACAAGUCAAGGAGUAACUGUCUUGACUUUGACGGUACCUAACCAGAAAGUCACGGCUAACUACGUG